RNAcentral lists this ribosomal RNA (253 nucleotides) under uncultured bacterium. RNAcentral's name for it is "partial 16S ribosomal RNA". It matches the Rfam family "Bacterial small subunit ribosomal RNA", at positions 524 to 776 of the family's 1533-position model. The record is from RNAcentral.
UACGUAGACAGCAAGCGUUGUUCGGAAUUACUGGGCGUAAAGAGUGUGUAGGCGGUGCUCUAAGUUCGUUGUGAAAUCUCCCGGCUUAACUGGGAGGGUGCGGCGGAAACUGGAGUGCUUGAGCGCGGGAGAGGAAAGCGGAAUUCCUGGUGUAGCGGUGAAAUGCGUAGAUAUCAGGAGGAACACCUGUGGUGUAGACGGCUUUCUGGACCGUAGCUGACGCUGAGACACGAAAGCGUGGGUAGCAAACAGG